AAUAAGAAAGCAGUGCCUCUGUUUUUAGUUUCGACCUAAAAUAAAGUAAAUUUUACUCUUAUUA
RNAcentral lists this transfer RNA (64 nucleotides) under Taeniothrips tigris. RNAcentral's name for it is "tRNA-Arg". The record is from RNAcentral. Lineage: Eukaryota; Metazoa; Arthropoda; Insecta; Thysanoptera; Thripidae.